AGAGACAACAGAUUUACAUCCCAGACACAUUCACGCUGGGCCAAGAGCAGCUGCCAUUGCAGAUUUGAGUCAUGUACAUUUCUCCCUCCUCCUUCCUGGGGUUGGAACAGAAGCUGGGGCAGUGAGAGUGCAGAAAGGACAUGGAUGAAGCAGGGAGGGACGUGCCAGUCCCACUCGCCUCUGGCUCUGCUGCGUCUAGGACCAGGCCAGCACACAGCAGGAGCCCGAGAAAUAUUUAUUAAAGAAAUGAAAGUCAGGUGACAGAAGGUAGGAGGAGGGAGACCCCUCAAAGAGCUCCCCAUCCAUCCUGCUGAGAGGCACCUCCACCACUCAGUAAAACCCCUGCAUUCAUCCUUCAAGUCUGAGUGUGACCUGAUUCUCUCUGGACGCUGGACAAAGACCUAGGUACCAAAAGGGUCUAACACUUAAGUCAUCCAUGGAUAGCAAGGCUAACAGAACACUGUAACAUGUGUCCACUUGGGGGCUGGGAGUUGCAGACACCCACCCAUAGAUGCUACCAUGGGGCCAGAGCCCAAAAGCACUUGCCCUGACUCCUGCACCUGCCUGUCUGCAUGCUUCCCCCUGUAAAGGGUUUGAACAUGUGGCGGCUGAACAUAAGAGCCACGCCUCUGCCACACGUCAUGGGAUGGGGGGUCAUGGGAUGGGGGUCAGGGAACGCUCCCAUUUCACUUUUAAAUAUUCUAGGCCCCCUUUUUGUUUGGGAGCCAGAAUCUAGGACAGACAGAUAGAAAGCCUGAAAUAGGAUCCAGGCAAUAUAAACCUACAUGCUGUAGGC
This is a long non-coding RNA of Cebus imitator (Panamanian white-faced capuchin), 796 nucleotides long. RefSeq lists it as uncharacterized. The record is from RefSeq and is a predicted model, not a curated record. The transcript is spliced from 3 exons. NCBI's taxonomy places the organism in Eukaryota, Metazoa, Chordata, Mammalia, Primates, Cebidae.